UGAAAGGGAAGCGCUUGCAACCAGACCUGCCUGCAGUUGCUCAUCCGGGCUUUUGCCCGGUGCACUCUUCUGCUGUCAGGCCAGCAUCGGUUCGGGCGGUCGGAUAAAGGCUUCGGGAAUGUAGCUCCUCUCGAGGAGUGUUAUAGCCCGUUGCGAAAUGCGGCCAGCCUGAACUGAGGUCCGCGCUUCGGCUAGGAUGCUGGCGUAAUGGUUGUAAGCGGCCCGUCUUGAAACACGGACCAAGGAGUCUAACAUCUGUGCGAGUGUUUGGGUGUCAAACCCGUACGCGUAAUGAAAGUGAACGGAGGCGGGAACCCCCUCGGGGUGCACCGUCGACCGAUCCUGAUGUCUUCGGAUGGAUUUGAGUAAGAGCAUAGCUGUUGGGACCCGAAAGAUGGUGAACUAUGCCUGAAUAGGGUGAAGCCAGAGGAAACUCUGGUGGAGGCUCGCAGCGGUUCUGACGUGCAAAUCGAUCGUCAAAUUUGGGCAUAGGGGCGAAAGACUAAUCGAACUAUCUAGUAGCUGGUUCCUGCCGAAGUUUCCCUCAGGAUAGCAGUAACGUUUUCAGUUUUAUGAGGUAAAGCGAAUGAUUAGAGGCCUGGGGGUUGAAACAACCUUCACCUAUUCUCAAACUUUAAAUAUGUAAGAAGUCCUUGUUACUUAGUUGAACGUGGACAUUUGAAUGUAUCGUUACUAGUGGGCCAUUUUUGGUAAGCAGAACUGGCGAUGCGGGAUGAACCGAACGCGGAGUUAAGGUGCCGGAAUGCACGCUCAUCAGACACCACAAAAGGUGUUGGUUCAUCUAG
RNAcentral lists this ribosomal RNA (806 nucleotides) under uncultured Ascomycota. RNAcentral describes it as "LSU rRNA". It matches the Rfam family "Eukaryotic large subunit ribosomal RNA", at positions 409 to 1236 of the family's 3401-position model. Lineage: Eukaryota; Fungi; Ascomycota. The record is from RNAcentral.